ACGCGAAGGAAGGUAACCCGGGCUCGAACGGCAGAGGAACAUCCAGAGAUGGUGCGGCCCUUCGGGCUUCUGUCGAGGUGCUGCAUGGUUGUCGUCAGCUCGUGCCGUGAGUGUCGGCUCAAGUGCCAUAACGAGCGCAACCCUUGCCGUCAGUUACCAUCAAGUAGUGUUGGGGACUCUGGCGGGACUGCCACCGCAAGGUGUGAGGAAGGGGGGGAUGACGUCAAAUCAGCACGGCCCUUACGUCCGGGGCGACACACGUGUUACAAUGGCGGCCACAGAGGGGCACUACCUGGCGACAGGAUGGGAAUCUCGAAAAGCCGUCUCAGUCCGGAUCGGAGUCUGCAACCCGACUCCGUGAAGCUGGAUUCGCUAGUAAUCGCGCAUCAGCCAUGGCGCGGUGAAUACGUUCCCGGGCCUUGUACACACCGCCCGUCAAGCCAUGAAAGUCUGGGGCGCCUGAAGUCCGUGACCGAGAGGAGCGGCCUAGGGCGAAACAGGUAAUUGGGGCU
This 512-nucleotide ribosomal RNA is filed under the name uncultured bacterium. Its description in RNAcentral is "bacterial SSU rRNA". It matches the Rfam family "Bacterial small subunit ribosomal RNA", at positions 959 to 1482 of the family's 1533-position model. The record is from RNAcentral.